Long non-coding RNA from Sebastes umbrosus (honeycomb rockfish), 1104 nucleotides. RefSeq lists it as uncharacterized. The transcript is spliced from 3 exons. The record is from RefSeq and is a predicted model, not a curated record. Lineage: Eukaryota; Metazoa; Chordata; Actinopteri; Perciformes; Sebastidae.
UCAACACAGGAGUUAAGGUAUAUUUUGGACACAGAGGCACAGACUGACGCACAGAUGGGUGUUUUGCAGAGGGAUUCGAUUAGACAUUACAGACCAGAUGGAGAUCUUGUUGGAAGCACUGGGGUCAGCAAACUGCUUAAGCCCCUCAGUCACUGUCUCAUACUGACAGACUGAUAGAUGUACCCAGCUUUGGAACAGGAAGUCAUUGCCCCGACUGGUGAAACGGAUGGUGCUAAGGGACGUCCGGGUGUCUAACUGAAAGCUCCUCACCACUCAGUUCAAUGAUCGACAUGCUGAUCCCACAUAAACUCAUGAAGUUAGCCUGUGUGUGUGUGCCAUAUGCACUUAGCGACGAGGUUAGAGUGCAGGCCUCAUUAGCAUGUAUAAACUCCCAGUGUCAAGAGGUCGCCUUUGACCCUAACACACAAAAUCUUGCUCAAAACAUGGCUGACACAAAGUAUGCAUCCAUGUGGAUGAGGCAUGUGCACUGCUGGGCUAGUGGUUAUAAAUACUCAACAUUGUAAAAGUAGGUUUAAAUCCCUUCAUUGCUUUAAACAUGAUGUUUCAUAAUAUCCAGUAAAGACUGAUUAUCAAUCGGUGUGUUCAUUUUUUGCUUCAUUUUUUGCUUUGAAAUAAUAGAUAAAAGAAAAAUAAAUCAAUAAAUUACUAAACAUGUACAAACAUUUCUAAUGGUGCCAUGCAAUAAGUAAAUUCUCUUUCUUUUCUGUAUUUAUUUACGUGAUUACAUCGCUAAAUAGAUGGAAAAUGUGUCGCAGCGAAAUGGUUUCCUCUGACCGCUUAUGACUCGCUUACAGCAGACUUACAGAAAUCCUUCACUGUCCAACAGUUGCUUCACAACUUUAAGUCACUUAAUCGAUUGAUGGCUACAUGGCAGCAGUAUUUCCAACAACUCCGGUUGACAUUAUAGGGGCUUACACACAGAAAAAAAAAAAAAAAACACUGCUUCAUGCUUAAAAAAGAUCACCGGAGAGGCGAUGUCCCUUCGGUGGCAGUCCAGCACAAUGUGUUCCAGUUCACUUUCAUCAUGUUGUACCAGCUGAACAUGGUGUAGCUUUCAGCCCUUCCCUGUGGGAAACCAGCCUG